AGAGUUUGAUCCUGGCUCAGGAUGAACGCUGGCGGCGUGCUUAACACAUGCAAGUCGAACGGACGAUGAAAAGCUUGCUUUUCAGAGUUAGUGGCGGACGGGUGAGUAACGCGUGGGUAACCUGCCUCAUACAGGGGGAUAGCAGCUGGAAACGGCUGAUAAAACCGCAUAAGCGCACAGCAUCGCAUGAUGCAGUGUGAAAAACUCCGGUGGUAUGAGAUGGACCCGCGUCUGAUUAGCUGGUUGGUGAGGUAACGGCCCACCAAGGCGACGAUCAGUAGCCGGCCUGAGAGGGUGACCGGCCACAUUGGGACUGAGACACGGCCCAAACUCCUACGGGAGGCAGCA
RNAcentral lists this ribosomal RNA (348 nucleotides) under uncultured bacterium. RNAcentral describes it as "bacterial SSU rRNA". It matches the Rfam family "Bacterial small subunit ribosomal RNA", at positions 8 to 353 of the family's 1533-position model. The record is from RNAcentral.